Molecule: RNase P RNA, 389 nt
Filed under: Fidelibacterota bacterium
Lineage: Bacteria; Pseudomonadati; Fidelibacterota
Description: RNase P RNA component class A
Rfam family: Bacterial RNase P class A
About the family: Ribonuclease P (RNase P) is a ubiquitous endoribonuclease, found in archaea, bacteria and eukarya as well as chloroplasts and mitochondria.
Source: RNAcentral
UGAGUCGGUCGGAUGGUUACUCUCGGACCGCAUCAGCAGCCCGAGAGAGGAAAGUCCGGGCACCGCAGAAAAGGAUGCCCCAUAGCGUGGGGAGUUCCGCCUGAGCGGAAUAUGGAAAGUGCAGCAGAAAAUAAACCGCCGCAAAAUUAUUUCGCGGUAAGGGUGAAAGGGUGGUGUAAGAGACCACCAGUCCCCGAUGAGAACCGGGAAGCUUGUAAACCCCAUCCGGUGCAAGACCGAAUAGGCUUCGAGACGUGUUUCGCGUCAACUAAGGAGCGGGUAGGUUGCUUGACCCAGGCAGAAACGUUUGGGCUAGAUAAAUGACCAUCCUUUUGGUGUUGAAAUAUCAAGCCAAAGGACAGAACUCGGCUUAUAGACCGACUCAAUAA